RNAcentral lists this long non-coding RNA (1367 nucleotides) under Rattus norvegicus (Norway rat). RNAcentral's name for it is "long non-coding RNA NONRATT000994". The record is from RNAcentral. Lineage: Eukaryota; Metazoa; Chordata; Mammalia; Rodentia; Muridae.
AUGUGCACAACAGGAGGUUUUCAUGCCCAAAGAGAGCCUCGUCCCCUUUUACAGUCCACCAGCUUCUCUCUUUGCUGGUCUGCAGCAUCAAGGGGAUUCACUUGCAGGACAGCUCAUUGGUGAGAGUUGGGCUAGCCUUUGGCAAAAAGUCGUGCCUGGGCUUAUGUCCUGGGGCAUUCUAGGUGAGGAGCUGAAGCUCAGGGCAUUGCCUACUGGUGUUUCUAUUCAGUCCAAGUGUGGCCUAGAAGACCCCACUGACCUCAGGUUCCCCAUGUGUAAAGGGCUAGUACCAGGCUCUGCCCACCACACAGGGACUACUGAAAGGGAUAUAAGGGUGGUGGGUAAGAAGAGAGGCCGGAUGAUGCAGCAGACUAUGUGAGUGGCUUGGGUGGCCGAUCCACGUAGCCCACAACAAAAUGACAGUGUGGGAUAUCCUGUCUUCCCUGGGUCUCUCUUCUCAGUGUUAGGUCCAGCCACAACUGCUGCUGCGCUGCCUCUUCCAAGCCGUGGAAGUUGAUGUGUGUCCUGGGUGUGGUGUCGAGGGGUGGCUGGGGCGGCCUCAGGCCUGUGACCCUCUGUGAAGUGGUGAUUUGUGUGGCACAUUCAUUCCUGGACCAUGUCCAGGUCAACCUGUUGUACCUGUGGCUGCCCUUGUCCCAUGAAGUCAUUAUAGUUUAUUCAACUGCAACAGGACAAAUGAGCAAAAGAACCUUGAACAAGAGGCCAUUAAAGGCCUUUUGUGAUGGAGGACACUGGCUGUGUGUUCAUUUCUCGUCUCACAAGCCCGGACAAGAAGAGAGCCGGAAGCACCCUCCAGCCCAGCCCUGCCCUGCUCCGCCCUGCCAUGGGUUUUGUGCCUCAUCUGUCUCCUCCCUCCUGAAGAUUCCCCGAGGGGUUUUCUGUUGUAUCUUGUGGCCUUGGGGUUAAGCUGCCAAGCGUUUGAUCUCUCAAAAGAUUGGCUGGAUUCCAUGAGCCCUGCUUUGCCCUGAGUUGAAGCCCCUGCCUGUUUCUGUCCCCUUAGCUUUACCCUGGCUCUGGUUCUGGCUGUGCCCAUGUUACAUAGCCUGUCCUGCCAGGUCUUCUUGAAAUCACUUUGUUUCCCCAAGUUUUAACUGCUCCUGGGCUAAAGGAUCAGCCAGCAUCCUAAUAGAUUCUGUCUUAUUUUCAAUAGAAAGGAGAGGUGCUAGGCAAGGCAGUGCACACUCUUAAUCCCAGCUCUGGGAGACAGUUUCUGGGUCUGCCUGGGCUACAUAGUGAGACUGUUUAAAAAAAAAAAAAAGAGGCUCGUGAAUACGAUCAAUUUUUUAUAAAAUUGAUUAUGUGAUGGACACUCGUUUUUUAUAUUCCUAUAAAAAUUGCACCAAUUU